RNAcentral lists this ribosomal RNA (120 nucleotides) under Pogona vitticeps (central bearded dragon). The record is from RNAcentral. Lineage: Eukaryota; Metazoa; Chordata; Lepidosauria; Squamata; Agamidae.
GCAUGUACAGUUUGCCGCAGUAAGCACAGUUGAUCCCAUCUGAUUUCAGAAGCUAAGCAGGGUCAGGCCUGGUGAAUACUUGGAUGGGGACCUCGUGUGGAAUGCAUACUUUUGCCUGAU